This 539-nucleotide long non-coding RNA is filed under the name Ananas comosus (pineapple). RNAcentral describes it as "long non-coding RNA (ACOM_LNC042917)". Lineage: Eukaryota; Viridiplantae; Streptophyta; Magnoliopsida; Poales; Bromeliaceae. The record is from RNAcentral.
UUUAACAUUAGUUCUAUAAUUACUAUACUACUCUUUAUUUUUAUGAAUUUAUUUAAUACCCAAGUAUUAGAUUUCUAAAUAUUAUAAUUUCUCAUACAUUGAUUCUUUAGAUGCUGUAAACCAUAUUUUAUUUACAUUUGAAUUUGAAGACAUUAAUUAUCAAAGGAAAAACUUCAAAAACCCCCCCUGUGGUUUCAUAGUUUCUCACUUUGCCGCCCUGUGAUUUAAAAUGUAUCAAAUUGCCCCCCUGUGGUUUCGUUUUUAUCUUUUCGGUAGCUUUUUCGUUAAUAUUUCAUUAAAUUAUAUACAAAAAAAACUUCAAAUACUCAUCUAGAUUUAUCAAAUAUUCACUUUAGUACUCUUUAAAUUAACUUUAUCACUGAUUUAAGAAAAAAAAAAUAAUGAAAUUGAUAAGAAAAAGAGAAAAAAGAAACCACAGAGAGGCAAAUUGAUACAUUUUAAACCACAGGGUGGCCAAGUGAGAAACUACGAAACCACAGAGGGUUUUUUUGAAGUUUUCCCAUUAUCAAAACAAAGAU